AUUGAACGCUGGCGGCAUGCCUUACACAUGCAAGUCGAACGGUAACAGGUUAAGCUGACGAGUGGCGAACGGGUGAGUAACACAUCGGAACGUGCCCAAUCGUGGGGGGAUAACGUAGCGAAAGCUACGCUAAUACCGCAUACGAUCUACGGAUGAAAGCGGGGAUCGCAAGACCUCGCGCGAAUGGAGCGGCCGAUGGCAGAUUAGGUAGUUGGUGGGGUAAAGGCUCACCAAGCCGACGAUCUGUAGCUGGUCUGAGAGGACGACCAGCCACACUGGGACUGAGACACGGCCCAGACUCCUACGGGAGGCAGCAGUGGGGAAUUUUGGACAAUGGGCGCAAGCCUGAUCCAGCCAUGCCGCGUGUGGGAAGAAGGCCUUCGGGUUGUAACCGACUUU
This 399-nucleotide ribosomal RNA is filed under the name uncultured bacterium. RNAcentral's name for it is "bacterial SSU rRNA". It matches the Rfam family "Bacterial small subunit ribosomal RNA", at positions 30 to 436 of the family's 1533-position model. The record is from RNAcentral.